GCCAGCAGCCAUAUCACCCUGCAACUCACAACUGGCAACUCACUGAAGCUAAGCAGGUGUGAGCCUGGUCAGUACCUGGAUGGGAGACCUCCUGGGAAAAACAUAGGUUGCUGGUGGAA
This is a ribosomal RNA of Lepisosteus oculatus (spotted gar), 119 nucleotides long. The record is from Ensembl. Lineage: Eukaryota; Metazoa; Chordata; Actinopteri; Semionotiformes; Lepisosteidae.